This 265-nucleotide ribosomal RNA is filed under the name uncultured bacterium. RNAcentral describes it as "partial 16S ribosomal RNA". It matches the Rfam family "Bacterial small subunit ribosomal RNA", at positions 88 to 354 of the family's 1533-position model. The record is from RNAcentral.
CGAUGGAGUGGCGGACGGGUGAGUAACGCGUGGGCAACCUGGCCUGUACAGGGGGAUAACACUUAGAAAUAGGUGCUAAUACCGCAUAACGGGGGAAGCCGCAUGGCUUUUCCCUGAAAACUCCGGUGGUACAGGAUGGGCCCGCGUCUGAUUAGCCAGUUGGCAGGGUAACGGCCUACCAAAGCGACGAUCAGUAGCCGGCCUGAGAGGGCGGACGGCCACACUGGGACUGAGACACGGCCCAGACUCCUACGGAAGGCAGCAG